AGUGAACGCUGGCGGUAGGCCUAACACAUGCAAGUCGAACGGCAGCACUGAGGAGCUUGCUCCUUGGGUGGCGAGUGGCGGACGGGUGAGGAAUACAUCGGAAUCUACUCCGUCGUGGGGGAUAACGUAGGGAAACUUACGCUAAUACCGCAUACGACCUACGGGUGAAAGCAGGGGAUCUUCGGACCUUGCGCGAUUGAAUGAGCCGAUGUCGGAUUAGCUAGUUGGCGGGGUAAAGGCCCACCAAGGCGACGAUCCGUAGCUGGUCUGAGAGGAUGAUCAGCCACACUGGAACUGAGACACGGUCCAGACUCCUACGGGAGGCAGCAGUGGGGAAUAUUGGACAAUGGGCGCAAGCCUGAUCCAGCCAUACCGCGUGGGUGAAGAAGGCCUUCGGGUUGUAAAGCCCUUUUGUUGGGAAAGAAAUCCAUCUGGUUAAUACCCGGGUGGGAUGACGGUACCCAAAGAAUAAGCACCGGCUAACUUCGUGCCAGCAGCCGCCGCCG
Molecule: ribosomal RNA, 506 nt
Filed under: uncultured bacterium
Lineage: Bacteria
Description: partial 16S ribosomal RNA
Rfam family: Bacterial small subunit ribosomal RNA
Source: RNAcentral